This 6508-nucleotide long non-coding RNA is filed under the name Canis lupus familiaris (dog). RNAcentral describes it as "lncRNA (ENSCAFG00000051020.1)". The record is from RNAcentral. Lineage: Eukaryota; Metazoa; Chordata; Mammalia; Carnivora; Canidae.
AAAAAAUAAAAUAAAACAUUAUUUUUCAUUCAAGUCUUAGAUUACUAGAUGUAAGAUCUAAGAUAUAUGAAAAAUAACCUAAUCUGGGGACAAUAAGGAUUUUAAUUUAGUUCCAUGCCAAACACAUAUUAUUUAAGUACAGUCAUUUUUCAUCCAGCCAACAAAUAGUUCCUAUAUAAAGAGUGUCUUGCCAACUUCUGGAGAGUCAAAGGAGAACAGGACAUGGCCUAUGGCCCCCGGAACUGAGUCUAGUGGAGACAGUCAAGUAAAAAGACAAUUCUCUGACCGAAUGAUACUGAUAUUCUGGGGGCACUAAGCACAAGGCACUCUGGGAAAACGUAACAGGGCCCUCUGCCCAUCUAAGUGGGACCAGAGAAGCUAUCUGAUCAUCUUAUCCUUCUGAGACCAUACGUGUAUAAUAGUUACAUUUAAAUUUAGAAGUUGUGCUAUUUAUCGUGACCUAGAAUUAUAAUCACUGGUGCAGUCUUGGGGAUAAGCUUUCGUGAUACAUGUUCAAAAUGGUCCCCAAUAAAUCAGGCUUCUGUGUCAACACUCCCUCUGUGAUGUGUCUAUGCCUUGAAUCCCAGAUUCAAGGGGGAAGUCUAUGUCCCCUCCUCUCCCCUGAAUCUGGGAUGGUCUUGUAACUUCCUUUGACUAAAAUAGUGCCUCAUGGAUGACAUCAUGGGAGUUUCAAGGCCAUCCAUUUAGAGAUCUUACAGCUUUCUCUUUGUCCAGGUAGAACCUAGCAGCCAUAUGAAGGAGUCGAAGCUACCCUGAUGGAAAGAGGCCACAUGGAAGGGAGACCCUGUAGGACAAGCCACCCCAUAUAAAGAGAAAGGUUGCAUGAAAGGAAAGCAGGUGAGCCAGAAGUUUGAGCCAUGUAAGCUAAGGCUUAGGCAGGUGGGAAGGCUGCCUUUGAAACCCCAGCCUGAAUCUAGCAGACACCACAAGGCGCAGAGAACGUGUCCUGUUCAGUUCCCUAUCCCAAAAAUCCUGAGCCAUUGAAUAAUGUUCUUCUUAGGCACUAAGUUUCAGAGUAAUUAGUAAGCCUCUAUUAAUAACUCGCAUGACCCUUCUGUACAUUAACCAGAUCCAAAUGAGCCACUUGACAGUACAAUGCUGCCUUUUAAGGAUCCGAUUAAAGGAACCCUGUUCUUUAUAAGGCCCUUUGACUACUUGGUGGGUUCAUGCCCACCGAGUUAUUAACAACAUAGAUAAAAGAGUUUGCACAUCAUGCCUGGCAGUAAGCUUGUACUGGUACUAAGGGACAUGGAACAUUUUGAGCACUGGGCCAUUUUACUGCCCCAAAAUAGAGUAUAAAUAGUAAAAACAAAACAAAAAAAAUUAAGGAAAUGUUAAUAAGGAAUAUAUUAAAUGAGAGAAAUAAUAAAGGAAAUGUUAAUAAGGAAUAUAUUAAUAAAGGGAAUGUUAAUAAAGGAAAUGUUAAUAAGGAAUAUAUUAGAUGAGAGAAAUAAUAAAGGUUUCAGAGAUUGCAAAGGAUUUACAAAUAAUACAAAGGAAAAUGCUAGUUAUGCAAUAUUUAACAGAAAAUGCUCUGGGACUCAGAGUGAAGGAGGACAGAAGGUCACUCCUGGGCAUCACAUCCCAGUUUUGAAGACGUGUAUAAUGAGAGACACUGGCAAUCUGGAUGCUGAAUAUUUUGUAGUUCUAACUUAACAGCAGAUGUUCAAUGAUUUUAAAGUAGUAUCUGCUCUUUUUGGACAUUUCUUUUAUACUAAGGUUCAGCUAAACAAUUUAUUAAAAGGGGUAUUUAGUAGGUUUUGCUUUUGCUUGUCAGAUUGCUCUGUGUUUUCCUUUCCUGGGUCUAUUUACUCACACAGGAUGAUUUGUAUGGGACUGGCUCUGUAACACAUGCAGAGUGAGGACCAAUAGAUGUGCUCACUCAUGCAUACAGCACAGUACGCCAGGUGCCCCAUGAUGGCACUCAUCAUCUUCAAUGACAUUCCUGGUGUGCUUAGGCUGAUGUCAUUUUGAUUAAUGAAGUAUUUGUUCUCUAUCAGAUAGCAACUUAAAAUAGUGCAUUUUCUGUGACUUAUGAAUGGGAUUUGAAUAUUACCUGUCUAGGUGUUUAGGUGAUUUGUGGCUAUUUUUUUCACUAAGAAAUCACUUAAUAUUUCUUUAAAUAGCAGUGUUAUGGCCCAAUAUUAAUGCUUAUGGAGGAAAAGAAAACAUGGCAACCAUAAAUGGAAUUUAAAUACUUUACUAAAUACUAUUAAAUACUAUUUCCAGAUGUCCAUUUUAGAGUAGAUACUGACAAUACUUUCAAUUCUUGGAUAUUGAGAACUUUAGAAUUAAAAAUUUUAUUAGAUAGUUAUUUGGAUAUUAAGUGCAAAAGUGUAUAAUAAUCACUUCCAUAUUCAGCCACGACUGAGUAACAAAUUCCAUAUUUACCCUCUCAUCUUAAACAAUCUUAAUCAAUGGACCAGAUCUAGGAAAUAAUGGUUUACAGGGAUGAAAAGCAAGCAGCACAGUGCAGUGAGCCCCUGGAGAAGGAAAUCCAAUGAAGACAUCACUACGACUGCCAUGGACUGCUGACCAAAAAGAGGUCCCUAGCCACAAUGCGCAACCUGAUGGAUUCUCCCCUAAGUUGCAAGAAUAUAGUUCCAAGUUUGAGGAGGGCAAGACUGCUAGAAUUUAUAGGGAAAACACCGGAGGAGGACCCUGUAGUGAUGUAGUGUAAGUACCUAACAAUUAGCUUUUCUGAUUGCAAUAUAAGUGCCUGACAUUGAGCUUUUAAUUGCCAAAGCAUCCACUUCAAAGACACACUAUUGAAUAAGCAUAUUUCCAGCUCACAACUAGAUAAAGAACCAGGCCACCCCGCCCACAAAUUUUUCCUUUUAGAGAGCUGUGGAUGACCUAGAUAGCUGGCCUCUUGAGUGGACUGGACCUGCUUUUCUCUUCUUGUGCUUUAAUCCCUGCUGUUAUGUUUGAAAUUUAAAAAUGAAUCCCAAGCCCCUAUGUACCCUAUCCAACCCCAAUAAAGGCUGAACCCCAAGUCUCCACUGUCUCUGUCUCUCUCCCCAGGAUCUUGCUUUAUGGACCCAGGCAUGCUGUGUAUCUUCCAGGUUUGUGAGUAAUAAACCUUGUUCUUCAAAGUCCUCUGAUGGUUGUUGCUGAGGCGUAUCUUGCAAUCAUAAGAAGCAGAAGAGCCAGUCCAGCCAUAGCACUGGUUCUGGGUAGGGAAAUGUUUAUGGAAACUCACCAUGAGGACAGGUGCGAGUGAGUAUUCCUGGGCAUUUCUAGUUCAUAGCAUCACUCUAUCAGCUCUAGACUGAAGUCAUGCAAAGAUGACUUAAAAAUCAAGGUUUAAUGAGAGCAUAGUGACGCCAAGUAACUCAAUUGCAUUCCAGGAAACUGUCCAACAAUCUUGAAAGAAAACAAAAGUAUCUAAACAUAAAGUUUAAGAUGUCUGGCAUCCAAUGAAAAAUGUCCGAACAUGCCGAAAAUAGAAAUUUUAACAGCCCAGGAAGUGAAACAUAUGACAGAAUUGACAUAUGAAGAAAUUAAAACAAUUACAAAUGUAUACCAUUUAUUCAAGAAGGUAAAGGAAAGAGGAGGAGAGAAAUGGAAUAUAUAACUGAGACUCACAUGAGAUUUCAGGAUAUAUAAUUUUUGAAAUAAAAAAAUGAUUACUGGAUGAGAUUAAGAGAACAUUGGACAAUGUCAAAGAAACCAUCAAUGUACUUGAAAACAUAGCAGUAGAAACUAUCUAAAGUGAAUUAUGAACAGAAAAAAAAAGACUGAAAAAUAAAUGAACAAAGCCUCAAUGACCUGUGGGACAAUAUCAAGCAGUAUAGAAUAUGUACAACUGAAGAUCCAGAAAGUGAGGAAAAUCAGAAACAGAACAGAAAAAAAAAUUAUAUAAUUGAAGAAAAUAGAAAAAGGAAAGAAAUAGAACCAAAUUUCACAAAAUUAUAUAACCAUAACUUCAAAACACUCAAUGAAUCUUAAGCCAAGGACCCAUGAAGAAAAUAAGAUUAAAACACAACCCUAUCAAAUUGCUGAAAUCCAGUGAUAAAAAGUACAAGAGUCAGAGUUUGCAGUAUACUCAGGUGACUGUAAGGAUGACAACAGGCUUACCACACAAGCCAGAGACAAUGGAGUCACAUCUGUAAAGUUCUGAAAGAAAAACUGUCAAUGUAGAAUUCCCUACCCAUAAAAAAAAUCUCAGAAAAGAUAAAAUAAAUAUUUAUUAAGACUAACAAAAGGGGAGAUAACUCACUGCCAGCAGACCUACAGAAUUAAGACUCUUUCUGGCACAAGGAAAAGGGAACCAGAUGAAGACUUGAAUCUACAUGAAUGAAUGAAGUGCACCAGAAAUGAAAAAUAUGAGGUUAAAUAUAAAAUCUUUUUUUCUCAGUUUUAAAAUUUCUUUCAAAGAUACAUGGCCAUUUAAAAUAGAAACCAGAAGAUAUUGUGGAGUUUAUACCAUAUAUAGAAAUAAAAUGCAGAGCAACAAUAAUGAAGAAGCUCAGGAGGGAAAAAAACUGAACUUAUUUUUUUGUCAUUAUAUUCUUUUAAAAAUUUUAAAUUUAUUUAUUUGACAGAGAGAGAGAGAGAGUAAGAACACAUGAAUGGGGGGGGAGGGGCAGAGGGAAAGAGAGAAGCAGAACCCCCUGCUGAGCAGGGAGCCCGUUACUGGGCUCAAUCCCAGGACCCUGGGAUCAUGACCUUAGCCAAAAGCUUAACUGACUGAACUACCCCAGGUGCCCCUGUCAUAUUCUUAUAACAUAUAUGACAAGGUAUAAUAUUAGUCGAAGAUACAUUGUAGUCUGUUCAACAGAUAUAUUUAGUUCAUAAAGAAAACACAAAAUAACAAAAUAAUAAAAACAAAUACACAACAACAAAACAGAAUAAGCUUAAAGUAAAGAAUAUAAAACAUUAUGUAGUUAAUAAAUAUAUAUACACCUAAUCCAAAAUAUUGUAAUAAAAGAGGAAAGCACAAAGAAUAAAUGGGACAAACGGAAAACAAAUAGCAAAAUGAUAGAUUUAAACCUAACAUUGUCAAUAAUCACGUUAAGUAAAGACAAUGUAAAUGUUUCAAUUAAAAGGCAGAUAUUGUGAGAUUGCACAAAAAAACAAGACCCAGACAUAUGCUGCAUAAAAGAAAUGUACUUUAAAUCUUAAGUCACACAGAGAUUGGAAGCAAAGAGAUAGUCUAAAAAUAAGCAUGUAAAUAGUACUCAUCAGAAAGCUAGCCUGGCCCCAAACAUUGAUAUACAACUAAUAUAAAAUAAAAUUAAUAAACUUAUUGCAAGAUUGACAAAGUGAUUAAUAGAGGAGACACAAAUUAUUCAAUAUCAGAAAUAAAAAGGGCUAUAUUGCUCAGACCUCCUAGAUAUCAUUAGGAUAGUAAAGGAUUAAUAUGGACAUUAUCAUGCACAUAAAUUCAUGAACUUAAAUGAGUCACUUUCUCAAAGAGCUACAAACUAAUAUUUACCCACAGAAUCCUAUAACUAUUAAAGUACUUGAAUUUACAAUUAAAAACUUUUCCUCAAAAUCCCUAGGCAAUGAUUGUUUAACUGGCAAAUUCUACGAAACCUUUCAGAAAGACAUAACACAAUGCUAUUUCAUAUCUUCCAGAAAACAGAAGAGGAGGAAACAUCUCUGAACUCAUUUUAUAAGUCCGAUAUUAAUUUUAUUCCCAAACCAAAAACAUUACAGGGGGAAAAGUCCCCCAACAAAAUAUUAGCAGGUUGAAUCCAAUGAUAUAUGUUCCAAGAUAAUACACCAUAGCCAAGUGAUAUUUAUCUUGGUUAGGGAAAAAUUGGUUUAACAUGUGAAAAUCAACCGGUGUAAUUUGCCAGAUUUGCAGAGUCUGACAGAAUUAGUGAUGAGACAUGCCAGUCUGAUAUCUUUCCAAGAGAAUCCACUGUGGGUGAUGCAGUUCACUGACCGCCACCACCUGAGAUGACUUCAGAUAACAUUAUAGCAGUAAUGCUGAAGCCACACUGUACUCAGGCUGCUCCCAGCAAAGAUAUCAGAAAGGGAGACAGAACGUAAAGACUGCUAACUCUGGGAAACGAACUAGGGGUGGUGGAAGGGGAGGAGGGCGGGGGGUGGGAGUGAAUGGGUGACGGGCACUGGGGGUUAUUCUGUAUGUUAGUAAAUUGAACACCAAUAAAAAAUAAAUUAAAAAAAAAGAAAUAGGGAUGGGGGCACUAAAUGUGUCAUUUCUGCUAGAUGUAGGACACUUCUGCCAAGCAAUAUUUGUUCUGGGGUUCCUCAUCAGCCUGGCCGAGAAUUUCCCAGAUAUGCACAGCCAUCUGCAGCUCUUUCUACUCCAUCUAUCCAUUCACAGGUGUCAGACUAGCACUGUGGUUUUGAAAGCCUCCCCUCCUCCUCCUGUUAAUGAUGCCCUAUUUCUUUAACAAGCCUUUCCCCUAAUACAUUUUUUUUGCAACUUGCUUCUGUUUUGGCAGCCUCUUAGGAGACCCCAGAAAAACCAUAUGAUCAUCUCAACACAAUGCAAAAAAAAAAAAAAAAA